RNAcentral lists this ribosomal RNA (511 nucleotides) under uncultured bacterium. Its description in RNAcentral is "partial 16S ribosomal RNA". It matches the Rfam family "Bacterial small subunit ribosomal RNA", at positions 29 to 523 of the family's 1533-position model. The record is from RNAcentral.
AACGAACGCUGGCGGCGUGCCUAAUACAUGCAAGUAGAACGCUGAAGGAGGAGCUUACUUCUCUGGAUGAGUUGCGAACGGGUGAGUAACGCGUAGGUAACCUGCCUGGUAGCGGGGGAUAACUAUUGGAAACGAUAGCUAAUACCGCAUAAGAGUAGAUGUUGCAUGACAUUUACUUAAAAGGUGCAAUUGCACCACUACCAGAUGGACCUGCGUUGUAUUAGCUAGUUGGUGGGGUAACGGCUUACCAAGGCGACGAUACAUAGCCGACCUGGGAGGGUGAUCGGCCGCACUGGGACUGAGACACGGCCCAGACUCCUACGGGAGGCAGCAGUAGGGAAUCUUCGGCAAUGGACGGAAGUCUGACCGAGCAACGCCGCGUGAGUGAAGAAGGUUUUCGGAUCGUAAAGCUCUGUUGUAAGAGAAGAACGAGUGUGAGAGUGGAAAGUUCACACUGUGACGGUAUCUUACCAGAAAGGGACGGCUAACUACGUGCCAGCCGCCGCCGUAA